Molecule: long non-coding RNA, 588 nt
Filed under: Homo sapiens (human)
Lineage: Eukaryota; Metazoa; Chordata; Mammalia; Primates; Hominidae
Description: HSALNT0369364
Source: RNAcentral
UGACUUCGAGUGGCAGAAAAUUUAAGAGAUGCAGUAUCUUCGGAGAGUAAUGACAUAUAAUCCACACAUUCAUGGAAGAAUGGAGACCUGAAGUCUUUGAAAGGGAGUAAGCAGAGAGGAAAAUAGAUGUGAACAGAUGAUCUACCUUAUUUUGGAAUUAAGAAACACUUGAAGAUUAUUCUCAGAAAUGCCAUAAGGGAUAUUUAAAAAUCUUGGAGCACACAAGAAGUACAAGAGGAAUGAAAAUGUCAUGUCUUAAUUUUCCAAAAAAGAGAAUAUUUUAGUUUUUAGUAUAUAAAGGCAGAUUAACAAACCUUCACACAAAUCUAAAUUUUAUUACUAAAUUAAUUGAUUACACUUUGUGUUUACUAGGUCACAGGGAAUUUCAGUGGGUUUACUCUGCAAAAGAUUUCAUGUGAAAUACAUUUUUCUAUUCUGAAAGGUUUUUCAAGAUUUUCAAGGCAACUAAGAAGUUUUCUAAAAAGACAGUGUUUGUAAUACAGGCUCUAUAGAAAGCAUCGUUGUGGAGGCCUCAGGAAACUUACAAUCAUGGCAGAAGGCGAAGGGAAGCAGGCACAUCUUACGUGG